This 88-nucleotide transfer RNA is filed under the name Jonquetella sp. BV3C21. RNAcentral's name for it is "tRNA-Sec". Lineage: Bacteria; Thermotogati; Synergistota; Synergistia; Synergistales; Dethiosulfovibrionaceae. The record is from RNAcentral.
CGUGCCCGAGCCGCUGCCGCGGCCGACGAGCUUCAGGUUCGUCAGGUCGUCCAUCUCCACGCUGGAGCGUCCCGCCAGCGGGUGCGUC